Long non-coding RNA from Prunus dulcis (almond), 919 nucleotides. RefSeq lists it as uncharacterized. The transcript has 3 exons. NCBI's taxonomy places the organism in Eukaryota, Viridiplantae, Streptophyta, Magnoliopsida, Rosales, Rosaceae. The record is from RefSeq and is a predicted model, not a curated record.
UGAAAUACCCAAUUGUAGACAUGAAACUAUAAAUAUACCCUACAUGAUUUAAUACAUAUAAACACACCCAAAACACACCCAAUUGUAGAAAGCUGUCGAUUUUUGUAUUUUAUUUUCUAUGUUAGAUUACGUUUUUGACCUUUUGGUUCGAAUAUUUUGAAACAUGCCCAAAACUCGCCAGCUAGGAUAGGAAUUUCUUGAAAUUUGGUGACCUCGUAACAGAAACCUGUUUGGCAGCCUCAGCAGAUCGAAUAUUCCAAGCGAGCUUCGUUCACUUCUUCGAACGAAGGAAGCUUCGUUCAUCUCUUUGAACGAAACGAGUUUCGUUCACCUCUUCGAACGAAGCUCAGUAUGAUGUGGUUCCAGAUCUUCUUUUUCGAUUCUUCUGAGCUUAGUAUGGCGUAGAUUGGAGUUCUAUUGCUUCAAUUUCUUUUUCUUUCUUGUUUGAUUUGGUGAUUUUUGGAUUGAUAUGCGCUGCAUGAGACUCGAUUGGAGCUUGGUGAGAUCUGUGAUCUUCGAUUUUUGAGAUUCGUUUUGAUUGUGGAUUUGCUCUUGUGUUUUGGUUUGAGCUGUGGUGAAAAAUUUGUGUUAUUCGAUUUAAUUGAGAGAUAUAUAUGGAUGAUUCGAGAGUGGCGAAGUGCACCUAUGGUGCUGGAACUUUAAUGCUUAUUUUGUCUUCAACUACUACUUUUGAUUGGUUGUCCAACGAGUUGUGUAGUAGGUUUAAGCUUAAGUUAGGUCAUUUUGAGUUGAGGUACUCUUUUAUGGAUUGCUCCAAUUGUUUGUUGGAAUCGGACGAUGAUUUGAAAAUCAUGUUUAUGGUAUGUGGACUGAUGAAGGAUCAAUUAAUUCACAUUGCUGUUAGGGAUAAGGCUGUAGUGAAUCAUGUUCAAACUGUUAAUACGAACAUGAUUGCUUC